GAAAUAAUUAAAUAGUUAAGCUUCUAACUUAAUUUCUAAAUGAUUAAAUUCAUUUUUAUUUUA
Molecule: transfer RNA, 63 nt
Filed under: Gonatocerus sp. ZCS-2018
Lineage: Eukaryota; Metazoa; Arthropoda; Insecta; Hymenoptera; Mymaridae
Description: tRNA-Ser
Source: RNAcentral